This 446-nucleotide ribosomal RNA is filed under the name uncultured bacterium. RNAcentral's name for it is "bacterial SSU rRNA". It matches the Rfam family "Bacterial small subunit ribosomal RNA", at positions 331 to 794 of the family's 1533-position model. The record is from RNAcentral.
CCAGACUCCUACGGGAGGCAGCAGUGGGGGAUAUUGCACAAUGGAGGAAACUCUGAUGCAGCGACGCCGCGUGAGGGAAGACGGUCUUCGGAUUGUAAACCUCUGUCUUUGGGGAAGAAAAUGACGGUACCCAAAGAGGAAGCUCCGGCUAACUACGUGCCAGCAGCCGCGGUAAUACGUAGGGAGCGAGCGUUGUCCGGAAUUACUGGGUGUAAAGGGAGCGUAGGCGGCUUCUUAAGUCUGUAGUCUAAGCCCGGAGCUUAACUCCGGUUCGCUACAGAAACUGAUUAGCUUGAGUAUGGUAGAGGCAAGUGGAAUUUCUAGUGUAGCGGUUAAAUGCGUAGAUAUUAGAAGGAACACCAGUGGCGAAGGCGACGUGCUGGGCCAUUACUGACGCUGAGGCACGAAAGCGUGGGGAGCAAAUAGGAUUAGAUACCCUAGUAGGU